GAGCUUGCUCCCUGAUGUUAGCGGCGGACGGGUGAGUAACACGUGGGUAACCUGCCUGUAAGACUGGGAUAACUCCGGGAAACCGGGGCUAAUACCGGAUGCUUGUUUGAACCGCAUGGUUCAAACAUAAAAGGUGGCUUCGGCUACCACUUACAGAUGGACCCGCGGCGCAUUAGCUAGUUGGUGAGGUAAUGGCUCACCAAGGCAACGAUGCGUAGCCGACCUGAGAGGGUGAUCGGCCACACUGGGACUGAGACACGGCCCAGACUCCUACGGGAGGCAGCAGUAGGGAAUCUUCCGCAAUGGACGAAAGUCUGACGGAGCAACGCCGCGUGAGUGAUGAAGGUUUUCGGAUCGUAAAGCUCUGUUGUUAGGGAAGAACAAGUACCGUUCGAAUAGGGCGGUACCUUGACGGUACCUAACCAGAAAGCCACGGCUAACUACGUGCCAGCAGCCGCGGUAAUACGUAGGUGGCAAGCGUUGUCCGGAAUUAUUGGGCGUAAAGGGCUCGCAGGCGGUUUCUUAAGUCUGAUGUGAAAGCCCCCGGCUCAACCGGGGAGGGUCAUUGGAAACUGGGGAACUUGAGUGCAGAAGAGGAGAGUGGAAUUCCACGUGUAGCGGUGAAAUGCGUAGAGAUGUGGAGGAACACCAGUGGCGAAGGCGACUCUCUGGUCUGUAACUGACGCUGAGGAGCGAAAGCGUGGGGAGCGAACAGGAUUAGAUACCCUGGUAGUCCACGCCGUAAACGAUGAGUGCUAAGUGUUAGGGGGUUUCCGCCCCUUAGUGCUGCAGCU
This 794-nucleotide ribosomal RNA is filed under the name Bacillus rugosus. RNAcentral describes it as "bacterial SSU rRNA". It matches the Rfam family "Bacterial small subunit ribosomal RNA", at positions 76 to 853 of the family's 1533-position model. The record is from RNAcentral. Lineage: Bacteria; Bacillati; Bacillota; Bacilli; Caryophanales; Bacillaceae.